CAAGUCGAGCGAGAAAGUGGCUUCGGCCAUGAGUACAGCGGCGGACGGGUGAGUAACACGUGGAUAACCUGCCUGGAAGUGGGGGAUAACUCGGGGAAACCUGAGCUAAUACCGCAUACGCCUUCCGGAUCGCGAUCCGGAUUGGAAAGGUUGCCUCUUCUUCGAAAGCUAUCGCUUCCAGAGGGGUCCGCGUCUGAUUAGCUAGUUGGUGAGGUAAUGGCUCACCAAGGCAACGAUCAGUAGCCGGCCUGAGAGGGUGAUCGGCCACACUGGAACUGAGACACGGUCCAGACUCCUACGGGAGGCAGCAGUGGGGAAUAUUGCGCAAUGGGGGAAACCCUGACGCAGCAACGCCGCGUGGAGGAUGAAGGCCUUCGGGUCGUAAACUCCUGUCAGGUGGGAAGAAUAGGUUGCAGCAAACAACUGCAACUGUUGACGGUACCACCAGAGGAAGCCCCGGCUAACUCCGUGCCAGCAGCCGCGGUAAUACGGAGGGGGCAAGCGUUAUUCGGAAUCAUUGGGCGUAAAGGGCGCGUAGGCGGCCUGGCAAGUCAAAGGUGAAAUCCCUCGGCCCAACCGAGGAACCGCCUUUGAAACUGCAAGGCUUGAGGCCGGGAGAGGGUAGCGGAAUUCCCAGUGUAGCGGUGAAAUGCGUAGAUAUUGGGAGGAACACCAGUGGCGAAGGCGGCUACCUGGACCGGUUCUGACGCUGAGGCGCGAAAGCGUGGGGAGCAAACAGGAUUAGAUACCCUGGUAGUCCACGCUGUAAACGAUGGGUACUCGGUGUCGCGGGUAUCGACCCCUGCGGUGCCUUA
RNAcentral lists this ribosomal RNA (815 nucleotides) under uncultured Pseudomonadota bacterium. RNAcentral's name for it is "bacterial SSU rRNA". It matches the Rfam family "Bacterial small subunit ribosomal RNA", at positions 58 to 850 of the family's 1533-position model. Lineage: Bacteria; Pseudomonadati; Pseudomonadota. The record is from RNAcentral.